UUAAGUUAUUAAGGGCGCACGGUGGAUGCCUUGGCACUAGAAGCCGAUGAAGGACGUUACUAACGACGAUAUGCUUUGGGGAGCUGUAAGUAAGCUUUGAUCCAGAGAUUUCCGAAUGGGGAAACCCAGCAUGAGUUAUGUCAUGUUAUCGAUAUGUGAAUACAUAGCAUAUCAGAAGGCACACCCGGAGAACUGAAACAUCUUAGUACCCGGAGGAAGAGAAAGAAAAUUCGAUUCCCUUAGUAGCGGCGAGCGAAACGGGAAGAGCCCAAACCAACAAGCUUGCUUGUUGGGGUUGUAGGACACUCUAUACGGAGUUACAAAGGACGACAUUAGACGAAUCAUCUGGAAAGAUGAAUCAAAGAAGGUAAUAAUCCUGUAGUCGAAAAUGUUGUCUCUCUUGAGUGGAUCCUGAGUACGACGGAGCACGUGAAAUUCCGUCGGAAUCUGGGAGGACCAUCUCCUAAGGCUAAAUACUCUCUAGUGACCGAUAGUGAACCAGUACCGUGAGGGAAAGGUGAAAAGCACCCCGGAAGGGGAGUGAAAUAGAACCUGAAACCGUGUGCUUACAAGUAGUCAGAGCCCGUUAAUGGGUGAUGGCGUGCCUUUUGUAGAAUGAACCGGCGAGUUACGAUUUGAUGCAAGGUUAAGCAGUAAAUGUGGAGCCGUAGCGAAAGCGAGUCUGAAUAGGGCGUUUAGUAUUUGGUCGUAGACCCGAAACCAGGUGAUCUACCCUUGGUCAGGUUGAAGUUCAGGUAACACUGAAUGGAGGACCGAACCGACUUACGUUGAAAAGUGAGCGGAUGAACUGAGGGUAGCGGAGAAAUUCCAAUCGAACCUGGAGAUAGCUGGUUCUCUCCGAAAUAGCUUUAGGGCUAGCCUCAAGUGAUGAUUAUUGGAGGUAGAGCACUGUUUGGACGAGGGGCCCCUCUCGGGUUACCGAAUUCAGACAAACUCCGAAUGCCAAUUAAUUUAACUUGGGAGUCAGAACAUGGGUGAUAAGGUCCGUGUUCGAAAGGGAAACAGCCCAGACCACCAGCUAAGGUCCCAAAAUAUAUGUUAAGUGGAAAAGGAUGUGGCGUUGCCCAGACAACUAGGAUGUUGGCUUAGAAGCAGCCAUCAUUUAAAGAGUGCGUAAUAGCUCACUAGUCGAGUGACACUGCGCCGAAAAUGUACCGGGGCUAAACAUAUUACCGAAGCUGUGGAUUGUCCUUUGGACAAUGGUAGGAGAGCGUUCUAAGGGCGUUGAAGCAUGAUCGUAAGGACAUGUGGAGCGCUUAGAAGUGAGAAUGCCGGUGUGAGUAGCGAAAGACGGGUGAGAAUCCCGUCCACCGAUUGACUAAGGUUUCCAGAGGAAGGCUCGUCCGCUCUGGGUUAGUCGGGUCCUAAGCUGAGGCCGACAGGCGUAGGCGAUGGAUAACAGGUUGAUAUUCCUGUACCACCUAUAAUCGUUUUAAUCGAUGGGGGGACGCAGUAGGAUAGGCGAAGCGUGCGAUUGGAUUGCACGUCUAAGCAGUAAGGCUGAGUAUUAGGCAAAUCCGGUACUCGUUAAGGCUGAGCUGUGAUGGGGAGAAGACAUUGUGUCUUCGAGUCGUUGAUUUCACACUGCCGAGAAAAGCCUCUAGAUAGAAAAUAGGUGCCCGUACCGCAAACCGACACAGGUAGUCAAGAUGAGAAUUCUAAGGUGAGCGAGCGAACUCUCGUUAAGGAACUCGGCAAAAUGACCCCGUAACUUCGGGAGAAGGGGUGCUCUUUAGGGUUAACGCCCAGAAGAGCCGCAGUGAAUAGGCCCAAGCGACUGUUUAUCAAAAACACAGGUCUCUGCUAAACCGUAAGGUGAUGUAUAGGGGCUGACGCCUGCCCGGUGCUGGAAGGUUAAGAGGAGUGGUUAGCUUCUGCGAAGCUACGAAUCGAAGCCCCAGUAAACGGCGGCCGUAACUAUAACGGUCCUAAGGUAGCGAAAUUCCUUGUCGGGUAAGUUCCGACCCGCACGAAAGGCGUAACGAUUUGGGCACUGUCUCAACGAGAGACUCGGUGAAAUCAUAGUACCUGUGAAGAUGCAGGUUACCCGCGACAGGACGGAAAGACCCCGUGGAGCUUUACUUUAGCCUGAUAUUGAAAUUCGGCACAGCUUGUACAGGAUAGGUAGGAGCCUUUGAAACGUGAGCGCUAGCUUACGUGGAGGCGCUGGUGGGAUACUACCCUAGCUGUGUUGGAUUUCUAACCCGCACCACUUAUCGUGGUGGGAGACAGUGUCAGGCGGGCAGUUUGACUGGGGCGGUCGCCUCCUAAAAGGUAACGGAGGCGCUCAAAGGUUCCCUCAGAAUGGUUGGAAAUCAUUCAUAGAGUGUAAAGGCAUAAGGGAGCUUGACUGCGAGACCUACAAGUCGAGCAGGGUCGAAAGACGGACUUAGUGAUCCGGUGGUUCCGCAUGGAAGGGCCAUCGCUCAACGGAUAAAAGCUACCCCGGGGAUAACAGGCUUAUCUCCCCCAAGAGUUCACAUCGACGGGGAGGUUUGGCACCUCGAUGUCGGCUCAUCGCAUCCUGGGGCUGUAGUCGGUCCCAAGGGUUGGGCUGUUCGCCCAUUAAAGCGGUACGCGAGCUGGGUUCAGAACGUCGUGAGACAGUUCGGUCCCUAUCCGUCGUGGGCGUAGGAAAUUUGAGAGGAGCUGUCCUUAGUACGAGAGGACCGGGAUGGACAUACCUCUGGUGUACCAGUUGUCGUGCCAACGGCAUAGCUGGGUAGCUAUGUGUGGACGGGAUAAGUGCUGAAAGCAUCUAAGCAUGAAGCCCCCCUCAAGAUGAGAUUUCCCAACUUCGGUUAUAAGAUCCCUCAAAGAUGAUGAGGUUAAUAGGUUCGAGGUGGAAGCAUGGUGACAUGUGGAGCUGACGAAUACUAAUCGAUCGAAGACUUAAUCAA
RNAcentral lists this ribosomal RNA (2921 nucleotides) under Staphylococcus aureus. Its description in RNAcentral is "bacterial LSU rRNA". It matches the Rfam family "Bacterial large subunit ribosomal RNA". Lineage: Bacteria; Bacillati; Bacillota; Bacilli; Caryophanales; Staphylococcaceae. The record is from RNAcentral.